This 497-nucleotide ribosomal RNA is filed under the name uncultured bacterium. Its description in RNAcentral is "partial 16S ribosomal RNA". It matches the Rfam family "Bacterial small subunit ribosomal RNA", at positions 28 to 507 of the family's 1533-position model. The record is from RNAcentral.
GACGAACGCUGGCGGCGUGCCUAAUACAUGCAAGUUGAGCGCUGAAGGUUGGUACUUGUACCAACUGGAUGAGCAGCGAACGGGUGAGUAACGCGUGGGGAAUCUGCCUUUGAGCGGGGGACAACAUUUGGAAACGAAUGCUAAUACCGCAUAAAAACUUUAAACACAAGUUUUAAGUUUGAAAGAUGCAAUUGCAUCACUCAAAGAUUAUCCCGCGUUGUAUUAGCUAGUUGGUGAGGUAAAGGCUCACCAAGGCGAUGAUACAUAGCCGACCUGAGAGGGGGGUCGGCCAAAUUGGGACUGAGAAACGGCCCAAAAUCCUACGGGAGGCAGCAGUAGGGAAUCUUCGGCCAUGGACGAAAGUCUGACCGAGCAACGCCGCGUGAGUGAAGAAGGUUUUCGGAUCGUAAAACUCUGUUGGUAGAGAAGAAAGUUGGUGAGAGUGGAAAGCUCAUCAAGUGACGGUAACUACCCAGAAAGGGACGGCUAACUACGUG